Molecule: ribosomal RNA, 403 nt
Filed under: uncultured bacterium
Lineage: Bacteria
Description: partial 16S ribosomal RNA
Rfam family: Bacterial small subunit ribosomal RNA
Source: RNAcentral
AUUGAACGCUGGCGGCAGGCCUAACACAUGCAAGUCGAGCGAGCGGCGGACGGGUGAGUAAUGUAUUGGGACUGCCCGAUAGAGGGGGAUAACUACUGGAAACGGUAGCUAAUACCGCAUACUAUCGGAUACCCCAUAUGGGAUUAGCUAUUAGGUGAGGUAAUGGCUCACCUAGGCGACGAUCCCUAGCUGGUCUGAGAGGAUGAUCAGCCACAUGGGAACUGAGAAACGGCCCAGAACCCUACGGAGGCAUGGGGGGGGAUUGUUGGCCAAUGGGGGCAAGACGGAUGAAGCCAGGCCGCGGGUAUUAAGAAGGCCCUAGGGUUGUAAGGUACUGUGAGUCGGGAGGCGGUACCGACAGAGGAAGCACCGGCUAAAUCCGUGCCAGCAGCCGCGGUAAUAC